GGACUCCGAGUGUGAAGGCAUAGGCUUCCUUUUGUACACCGUAAGGUGGUGUACGAAUAAGGGCUGGGCAAGACCGGUGCCAGCCGCCGCGGUAAUACCGGCAGCCCGAGUGAUGGCCGAUAUUAUUGGGCCUAAAGCGUCCGUAGCUGGCCGGACAAGUCCGUUGGGAAAUCUGUUCGCUUAACGAGCAGGCGUCCAGCGGAAACUGUUCGGCUUGGGACCGGAAGACCUGAGGGGUACGUCCGGGGUAGGAGUGAAAUCCUGUAAUCCUGGACGGACCACCGGUGGCGAAAGCGCCUCAGGAGGACGGAUCCGACAGUGAGGGACGAAAGCUAGGGUCUCGAACCGGAUUAGAUACCCGGGUAGUCCUAGCUGUAAACGAUGCCCGCUAGGUGUGGCGCAGGCUACGAGCCUGCGCUGUGCCGUAGGGAAGCCGAGAAGCGGCCCGCCUGGGAAGUACGUCUGCAAGGAUGAAACUUAAAGGAAUUGGCGGGGAACACUCACUACAACCGGAGGACCCUGCGGUUUAAUUGGACUCAACGCCGGACAUCUCACCAGCUCCGACACUAGUAAUGACGGUCAGGUUGAUGACCUCGGCCUGAAAGGGUCUUGGCGGCAAAAAACCGGGGGGCGGUAAA
Molecule: ribosomal RNA, 638 nt
Filed under: Halolamina salifodinae
Lineage: Archaea; Methanobacteriati; Methanobacteriota; Halobacteria; Halobacteriales; Haloferacaceae
Description: bacterial SSU rRNA
Rfam family: Archaeal small subunit ribosomal RNA
Source: RNAcentral